RNAcentral lists this ribosomal RNA (433 nucleotides) under uncultured bacterium. Its description in RNAcentral is "partial 16S ribosomal RNA". It matches the Rfam family "Bacterial small subunit ribosomal RNA", at positions 29 to 507 of the family's 1533-position model. The record is from RNAcentral.
AACGAACGCUGGCGGCAUGCCUAACACAUGCCAGUCGAACGAGACCUUCGGGUCUAGUGGCGCACGGGUGCGUAACGCGUGGGAACCUGCCCUUAGGUUCGGAAUAACUCCCCGAAAGGGGUGCUAAUACCGGAUAAUGUCUUCGGACCAAAGAUUUAUCGCCUUUGGAUGGGCCCGCGUUGGAUUAGCUAGUUGGUAGGGUAAAAGCCUACCAAGGCGACGAUCCAUAGCUGGUCUGAGAGGAUGAUCAGCCACACUGGGACUGAGACACGGCCCAGACUCCUACGGGAGGCAGCAGUGGGGAAUAUUGGACAAUGGGCGAAAGCCUGAUCCAGCAGUGCCGCGUGAGUGAUGAAGGCCUUAGGGUUGUAAAGCUCUUUUACCCGGGAUGAUAAUGACAGUACCGGGAGAAUAAGCGCCGGCUAACUCCGUG